Molecule: ribosomal RNA, 433 nt
Filed under: uncultured bacterium
Lineage: Bacteria
Description: partial 16S ribosomal RNA
Rfam family: Bacterial small subunit ribosomal RNA
Source: RNAcentral
AACGAACGCUGGCGGCAUGCCUAACACAUGUAAGUCGAACGAGACCUUCGGGUCUAGUGGCGCACGGGUGCGUAACGCGUGGGAACCUGCCCUUAGGUUCGGAAUAACUCCCCGAAAGGGGUGCUAAUACCGGAUAAUGUCUUCGGACCAAAGAUUUAUCGCCUUUGGAUGGGCCCGCGUUGGAUUAGCUAGUUGGUAGGGUAAAAGCCUACCAAGGCGACGAUCCAUAGCUGGUCUGAGAGGAUGAUCAGCCACACUGGGACUGAGACACGGCCCAGACUCCUACGGGAGGCAGCAGUGGGGAAUAUUGGACAAUGGGCGAAAGCCUGAUCCAGCAAGGCCGCGUGAGUGAUGAAGGCCUUAGGGUUGUAAAGCUCUUUUACCCGGGAUGAUAAUGACAGUACCGGGAGAAUAAGCUCCGGCUAACUCCGUG